AGCAGUCGCCGCGGGAAUACAGAGGGUGCGAGCGUUAAUCGGAUUUACUGGGCGUAAAGCGUGCGUAGGCGGCUUCUUAAGUCGGAUGUGAAAUCCCUGAGCUUAACUUAGGAAUUGCAUUCGAUACUGGGAAGCUAGAGUAUGGGAGAGGAUGGUAGAAUUCCAGGUGUAGCGGUGAAAUGCGUAGAGAUCUGGAGGAAUACCGAUGGCGAAGGCAGCCAUCUGGCCUAAUACUGACGCUGAGGUACGAAAGCAUGGGGAGCAAACAGGAUUAGAGACCCCAGUAGUCCCUGUCUAUUAUAC
This 303-nucleotide ribosomal RNA is filed under the name uncultured bacterium. RNAcentral describes it as "partial 16S ribosomal RNA". It matches the Rfam family "Bacterial small subunit ribosomal RNA", at positions 507 to 807 of the family's 1533-position model. The record is from RNAcentral.